AUUGAAUGCUUUCAACUGUUUUCUAAGGGAACAAAUUACCUAUUUAUUGAAAUGAGUUAACUGUAGCUUGCUGACAAACAGUAUUUCAUUUUCAGGAGCAGCUGUCAGACUUUUAAAACAUGAAAAGCCCAUCAAAAACAUUUUAGAAAGUACAGCCAAAACCUUAUAUGUGUCUUUCUAAAAUCUGUUCUGCUCAGAUGUAUUCAAGGCUGAAAACAUAAAAAAUUGGAUUAAAAUUAUGAAGCUACUCUGACGUGAUAUAUUAAAGAGCUCUGAAUGAUGCCUAGGGAUGGAGGAGAGAAGAAAAACACUUGAGUUUACUGAGGAAAUAUUUCAUUGGGAAAUGAAAAAGGUAUUGUUUGUAAAGUGCUUUGAAGAGUUCCUGCUACUUAGCUGUAACUUAUGAAGAAUUUAUGAAGAUGCCAUGUGCUAUGAGAUUAUUAAUCCAAACACGGAG
This 457-nucleotide long non-coding RNA is filed under the name Capra hircus (goat). RNAcentral describes it as "lncRNA (ENSCHIG00000007843.1)". Lineage: Eukaryota; Metazoa; Chordata; Mammalia; Artiodactyla; Bovidae. The record is from RNAcentral.